GAUGAACGCUGGCGGCGUGCCUAACACAUGCAAGUCGAACGGACUUAAGACGCUGAUGAGGCUUCGGCGGAUUCUUGUUUUAAGUUAGUGGCGGACGGGUGAGUAACGCGUGGGCAACCUGCCUCAUACUGGGGGAUAGCAGUUGGAAACGACUGAUAAUACCGCAUAAGCGCACAGAGUCGCAUGACUCAGUGUGAAAAACUCCGGUGGUAUGAGAUGGGCCCGCGUCAGAUUAGCUAGUUGGUAAGGUAACGGCUUACCAAGGCGACGAUCUGUAGCCGGACUGAGAGGUCGGACGGCCACAUUGGGACUGAGACACGGCCCAAACUCCUACGGGAGGCAGCAGUGGGGGAUAUUGCACAAUGGAGGAAACUCUGAUGCAGCGACGCCGCGUGUAUGAGAGAGUAUUUCGGUAUGUAAAGCUCUAUCAGCAGGGAAGAAAGACUCGCAAGAGAGAUGACGU
This 463-nucleotide ribosomal RNA is filed under the name bacterium XPB1008. Its description in RNAcentral is "bacterial SSU rRNA". It matches the Rfam family "Bacterial small subunit ribosomal RNA", at positions 28 to 475 of the family's 1533-position model. The record is from RNAcentral.